CUUAGAUCAAACCCCUCCCCCAUCGCACCCCUCCUCCCUCCUCCCAAUCUCCUUGCUGCCGCCGCCACCUCCUCCCCGUCCCGGCCCCUCCCCCUCCUCCUCGACCACGCCUCGUCGGAGAGAGAGAGAGGCGUCGCCCCCAGCGACUACGGUUGUUCCCCCCUCCUCCCUCCUCCUUCGCGCCUCGCCCACGGCGCGCCGCCCCGGCGCGCUGCCGCUGCUAUUUAUUCCCUCCAAAUCACCAUUGCCCACAGCAGCAAGGAAUCAAGAUCCAAUCCCCUCCCCUCCCAUCCACUCCUCCCCCGCGGCAACAGAGAUCCAGCCAGAUCCGCCUAGUUCCAUGGCGACCGCCGGCAACGCCCCCGCUCCCGCAAGCGCAUCGAGGCCACCGUCCUCAAGCACGCGCGCGACGGAAGUGCCUUCACCCGCUGCGAGUGUGCAACAAGAACGUAGCCAUCGUCCUCAUCGACCUUCACAGCUGCAGCCUCGACUCCAAGAUAGGCCUCAGCCUCGAUGCGUCUCAGCUCCUCACCUCUUCCAACGCAUCUUCGGUUUGGGCGGCCGGGCUGGAGGCUGGAGCAGAUCUGGAGUUUAAUUUUCCAUAGUCAGGUUGUAAUAAUUUUCAACUUAUAGCCGGGUUGCUCUGCUCUCAGUAACUUGUAGUUUUGUGAAUGUUCUCAUGUUGAUUCUAUCUUCCGCCUGGCUCAAACAUUAUAACAGCCUACUCGUUUUUAGGAGGAGUGGCAGUAUUAGUUAGUUUUUCUUGGAGGACAGUAAGAUCAUGCUUUGAUCUUGUAUGCUACUAUGGUUAUUUUGUAGGUAGUAUUUGCCAAAGGUUGGAGGUCAACGGUCGUCACAAGCCUACAAGAGAAUAUAUUGACAGAGAGUGUAAUGGUGUAAAACCACCCAAUAAUUUUGGCGAAGUUGAUCCCUGGACCGCGUGGGCGUACAGACCAUGGACCAUCUCGUUGUUACUGAUGGGAACCUGCUUUUUAAUGUACUUCGGAAGUCCUGGAGCUUUUUUGGAGAAUUUUUUCCAAACCCUACCAGACAAAGAAAACAAUUACUUGAUAUAUCAGGAAAUGAACAAAGUUGCUGAUAUGGUGGAUAAUGAUCGAUUUAACUUACUUCUCGAGCAGUUGAGUCAUGUCCGCAUAGUCCUGGGGAUCUUUUCGUUUUGAGUCUAAGACAGUUACUAGUCCCUGCUCAAGCUUAAUCUCUAGGAGAAUAUAGUGAUAACUGCACACACAUGCAUAACUCAUUAAUUACAUUACUAUAAUCUUGACUAAUAUAUAUAAGGGAAACCGAAUACGCACAAGACAGUAACACUCACUUGAAGUUGUAAGGAAAGAGUAUUAUAUCUUUGUUUUCAUUUAUUACCAACGAUCAUAGCAAGUUGGCCUCGGUAUCUGCGGCAUGAAAUUUAACCUGAGUUGCAUCUAUGAGAUAUGUGUUAAUGAACCCAA
This is a long non-coding RNA of Triticum aestivum (bread wheat), 1466 nucleotides long. RefSeq lists it as uncharacterized. NCBI's taxonomy places the organism in Eukaryota, Viridiplantae, Streptophyta, Magnoliopsida, Poales, Poaceae. The transcript is spliced from 3 exons. The record is from RefSeq and is a predicted model, not a curated record.